UAAAGGAAAUAAGAGCGCACAGUGGAUGCCUAGGCACCAAGAGCUGAUGAAGGACGCAAUUAACGGCGAUACGCUACGGGGAGCUGUAAAUAAGUGUAGAUCCGUGGAUUUCCGAAUGGGGCAACCUACUAUAAGAAGUUAUAGUAUCAAUUGUUAGGCAACUAACUGAUUGAAAGGAACGCAGUGAACUGAAAUAUCUAAGUAACUGCAGGAACAGAAAGUAAUAACGAUUCCGGUAGUAGUGACGAGCGAAUCCGGAACAGCCGGAUACCAAUAACUAGUUACCAAAUUUUAAUUAACUCGAAAUAGUUGGAAAGCUAUAUCCCAGAAGGUGAAAAUCCUGUAGAGGUAAGUUAAAAUCUAGGGUAUCCUCAAGUACGGCGAGACACGAGAAAUCUUGUUGGAAGAUAGGAGGACCAUCUCCUAAGGCUAAAUACUCCUUGGUGACCGAUAGUGAACUAGUACCGUGAGGGAAAGGUGAAAAGAACCCCGGAAGGGGAGUGAAAUAGAUCCUGAAACUGUGUGCUUACAAGUAGUCAAAGCUCGUUUAAGAGUGAUGGCGUGCCUUUUGCAGAAUGAACCGGCGAGUUAUGAUAUAGAGCAAGGUUAAGUUUGAAGGAACGUAGCCGUAGCGAAAGCGAGUCUGAAUAGGGCGUUUAGUUGUAUGUCAUAGACCCGAAACUGAAGUGAGCUAGCCAUGAACAGGCUGAAGUGACGUGACCACGUCAUGGAGGGCCGAACCAGGACACGUUGAAAAGUGUUUGGAUGAUUUGUGGCUAGAGGUGAAAUUCCAAUCGAACUCAGAGAUAGCUGGUUCUCCCCGAAAUAGCUUUAGGGCUAGCGUUGGGUAUUUAAUAGUUCUUGAAGGUAGAGCACUAAAUGAGUGCGGGCUCCACCUCGGGGUACCAAUCUCAAUUAAACUCCGAAUGUCAAGAACCGUAUCCCAGCAGUCAGACGAUGGGUGAUAAGGUCCAUGGUCAAAAGGGAAAGAGCCCAGACCGUCAGCUAAGGUCCCUAAAUUAAUGUUAAGUGGUUAAGGAAGUAAAAACGUUAAAACAAUUAGGAAGUUGGCUUAGAAGCAGCCAUCUUUUAAAGAGUGCGUAAUAGCUCACUAAUCUAAUAUUUUUGCACCGAAAAUGUAACGGGGCUAAACAUUAUACCGAAGCUACGGAUAUGUUCCGGCUAGUAAUAGCUAAGGAACAUGUGGUAGGGGAAGCGUUCUAACAUCGUAGAAGCUAUAGCGGAAGCAGUAGUGGAGAGGUUAGAAGUGAGAAUGCCGGUGUAAGUAACGAAAAGAUAGAUGAGAAUUCUAUCCGUCGAAAACCCAAGGUUUCCAGGGGCAGGGUCGUCCGCCCUGGGUUAGUCAGGAACUAAGGCGAGGCAGCAAUGCGUAGUCGAUGACCAGCAGGCUAAAAUUCCUGCACUAAAAAAAUCACUGAUGGAGGGACAAAAGAGGAUAAGCACGCCCUUUAUUGGAUUAGGGUCGAAAAAUCGAGUUUGAGAAGAUAGGCAAAUCCGUCUUCUUACUUGCCAAAAAAUGAGAUUUGAGGGUAACGUGACUGUGUUCAUAUUUUCUAGAAAAGCUUCUAGGGUUAAUGAUUUUUUUACCUGUACCGUAAACCGACACAGGUGGGAAGGUAGAGUAUACUAAGACGCGCGAGAAAACUCUUGUUAAGGAACUCGGCAAAAUGACUCCGUAACUUCGGGAUAAGGAGAGCUUUUAUGAUAAAAAGUAAAAGCCGCAGAGAAUAGGCCCAAGCGACUGUUUAUCAAAAACACAGGUCUCUGCUAAACCGUAAGGUGAUGUAUAGGGGCUGAUGCCUGCCCGGUGCUGGAAGAUUAAGAGGAGAUGUUCGGGCUUGCCCAAAGCAUUGAAUUGAAGUCCCAGUGAACGGCGGCCGUAACUAUAACGGUCCUAAGGUAGCGAAAUUCCUUGUCGGGUAAAUUCCGACCUGCACGAAAGGCAUAACGAUUUGGGCGCUGUCUCAACAAGAGUCUCGGUGAAAUCAAAUUACCGGUGAAAAUGCCGGUUACCCGCGACAGGACGAAAAGACCCCAUGGAGCUUUACUGUAGCUUAAUAUUGGAAUUGGAAAUCUCAUGUACAGGAUAGGUGGGAGACAGAGAACUUUAGACGCUAGUUUAAAGGGAGUCACCGGUGGGAUACCACUCUUGAGAUUUUUAGUUUCUAACCUGCAUAAGUGGAUUAUGAGGGACAGUGUUUGGUGGGCAGUUUGACUGGGGCGGUCGCCUCCUAAAAAGUAACGGAGGCGUUCAAAGGUUCCCUCAAAAUGGUCAGAAAUCAUUUUUAGAGCGUAAAGGUAUAAGGGAGCUUGACUGUGAGACCUACAAGUCGAGCAGGGACGAAAGUCGGACUUAGUGAUCUUGCGGUACCGAAUGGAAGGGCCGUGACUCAACGGAUAAAAGCUACCCUGGGGAUAACAGCCUUAUCGCCCCCGAGCGUUCACAGCGACGGGGCGGUUUGGCACCUCGAUGUCGGCUCUUCGCAUCCUGGAGCUGGAGCAGGUUCCAAGGGUUGGGCUGUUCGCCCAUUAAAGCGGUACGCGAGCUGGGUUCAGAACGUCGUGAGACAGUUCGGUCUCUAUCCGUCGUGGGCGUUGGAAAUUUGCGAGGAACUGUCCCUAGUAUGAGAAGACCGGGAUGGAUAUACCGCUGGUGCACCAGUUGGUUCGCCAGAGCCAUAGCUGGGUAGCUAUGUAUAGUAUGGAUAAACACUGAAAGCAUCUAAGUGUGAAGCCUCCCUCAAGAUGAGAUUUCCCUAAGAGAUCCCUGAAAGACGAUCAGGUUGAUAGGCUAGAAGUGGAAGAGUAGUGAUAUUUGGAGCUGACUAGUACUAAUAGAUCCAACGACUUUGAUGA
Molecule: ribosomal RNA, 2877 nt
Filed under: Candidatus Phytoplasma citri
Lineage: Bacteria; Bacillati; Mycoplasmatota; Mollicutes; Acholeplasmatales; Acholeplasmataceae
Description: Candidatus Phytoplasma aurantifolia 23S ribosomal RNA
Rfam family: Bacterial large subunit ribosomal RNA
Source: RNAcentral